AUACGGAGGGGACAAGCGUUAUUCGGAAUCACUGGGCGUAAAGGACGCGUAGGCGGGUUAUUAAGUCGGGUGUGAAAUCCAAUGGCUCAACCAUUGAACUGCAUUCGAAACUGAUAACCUAGAGUAUGGAAGGGGCAGGUGGAAUUAGUGGUGUAGGGGUAAAAUCCGUAGAUAUCACUAGGAAUACCGAAAGCGAAGGCGACCUGCUGGGACAUUACUGACGCUGAGGCGUGAAAGCGUGGGGAGCAAACAGGAUUAGAAACCCGUGUAGUCC
Molecule: ribosomal RNA, 274 nt
Filed under: uncultured bacterium
Lineage: Bacteria
Description: partial 16S ribosomal RNA
Rfam family: Bacterial small subunit ribosomal RNA
Source: RNAcentral